Molecule: long non-coding RNA, 211 nt
Filed under: Mytilus galloprovincialis (Mediterranean mussel)
Lineage: Eukaryota; Metazoa; Mollusca; Bivalvia; Mytilida; Mytilidae
Source: RNAcentral
AUAAGUUUCUUUUAUAUAAAAACAGUGAUUUUCAGUCUUGGCAUUUCUUUUUCAACAAAAAAGAAAGGAAAACGAGUGUCUGCUAAUUCAUUUUACUCACACAUGACUAUUAAUUCCAUGAAACUAUCAAAUCUAAUUGAAAACACACAUUUGGAUAUAUUUUGGUUCACAAUUGUCAAGAAAACUGCAGGAUUAAUUGCAAUUGUUCCGC